UACGUAGGGUGCAAGCGUUGUCCGGAAUUAUUGGGCGUAAAGGGUGCGUAGGUGGCGCCGUAAGUCAGGUGUGAAAUUUCGGAGCUUAACUCCGAAACUGCAUUUGAUACUGCGGUGCUUGAGGACUGGAGAGGAGACCGGAAUUUACGGUGUAGCGGUGAAAUGCGUAGAUAUCGUAAGGAAGACCAGUGGCGAAGGCGGGUCUCUGGACAGUUCCUGACGCUGAGGCACGAAGGUCAGGGGAGCAAACGGG
Molecule: ribosomal RNA, 253 nt
Filed under: uncultured bacterium
Lineage: Bacteria
Description: partial 16S ribosomal RNA
Rfam family: Bacterial small subunit ribosomal RNA
Source: RNAcentral